GGUUAAGCGACUAAGCGUACACGGUGGAUGCCCUGGCAGUCAGAGGCGAUGAAGGGCGUGCUAAUCUGCGAUAAGCGCCGGUAAGGUGAUAUGAACCGUUAUAACCGGCGAUUUCCGAAUGGGGAAACCCAGUGUGAUUCGUCACACUAUCAUUAACUGAAUCCAUAGGUUAAUGAGGCGAACCGGGGGAACUGAAACAUCUAAGUACCCCGAGGAAAAGAAAUCAACCGAGAUUCCCCCAGUAGCGGCGAGCGAACGGGGAGGAGCCCAGAGCCUGAAUCAGCAUGUGUGUUAGUGGAAGCGUCUGGAAAGGCGCGCGAUACAGGGUGACAGCCCCGUACACAAAAGCGCAUGUGCUGUGAGCUCGAUGAGUAGGGCGGGACACGUGGUAUCCUGUCUGAAUAUGGGGGGACCAUCCUCCAAGGCUAAAUACUCCUGACUGACCGAUAGUGAACCAGUACCGUGAGGGAAAGGCGAAAAGAACCCCGGCGAGGGGAGUGAAAAAGAACCUGAAACCGUGUACGUACAAGCAGUGGGAGCACAGGUUUACCUGUGUGACUGCGUACCUUUUGUAUAAUGGGUCAGCGACUUAUAUUCUGUAGCAAGGUUAACCGUAUAGGGGAGCCGUAGGGAAACCGAGUCUUAACCGGGCGUUAAGUUGCAGGGUAUAGACCCGAAACCCGGUGAUCUAGCCAUGGGCAGGUUGAAGGUUGGGUAACACUAACUGGAGGACCGAACCGACUAAUGUUGAAAAAUUAGCGGAUGACCUGUGGCUGGGGGUGAAAGGCCAAUCAAACCGGGAGAUAGCUGGUUCUCCCCGAAAGCUAUUUAGGUAGCGCCUCGUGAAUUCAUCUCCGGGGGUAGAGCACUGUUUCGGCUAGGGGGCCAUCCCGGCUUACCAACCCGAUGCAAACUGCGAAUACCGGAGAAUGUUAUCACGGGAGACACACGGCGGGUGCUAACGUCCGUCGUGAAGAGGGAAACAACCCAGACCGCCAGCUAAGGUCCCAAAGUCAUGGUUAAGUGGGAAACGAUGUGGGAAGGCCCAGACAGCCAGGAUGUUGGCUUAGAAGCAGCCAUCAUUUAAAGAAAGCGUAAUAGCUCACUGGUCGAGUCGGCCUGCGCGGAAGAUGUAACGGGGCUAAACCAUGCACCGAAGCUGCGGCAGCGACGCUGAUGCGUUGUUGGGUAGGGGAGCGUUCUGUAAGCCUGCGAAGGUGACCUGUGAGGGUUGCUGGAGGUAUCAGAAGUGCGAAUGCUGACAUAAGUAACGAUAAAGCGGGUGAAAAGCCCGCUCGCCGGAAGACCAAGGGUUCCUGUCCAACGUUAAUCGGGGCAGGGUGAGUCGACCCCUAAGGCGAGGCCGAAAGGCGUAGUCGAUGGGAAACGGGUUAAUAUUCCCGUACUUGGUGUUACUGCGAAGGGGGGACGGAGAAGGCUAUGUUGGCCGGGCGACGGUUGUCCCGGUUUAAGCGUGUAGGUGUGUGUUCCAGGUAAAUCCGGUUCACUUUAACACUGAGGCGUGACGACGAGGCACUACGGUGCUGAAGCAACAAAUGCCCUGCUUCCAGGAAAAGCCUCUAAGCAUCAGGUAACACGAAAUCGUACCCCAAACCGACACAGGUGGUCAGGUAGAGAAUACCAAGGCGCUUGAGAGAACUCGGGUGAAGGAACUAGGCAAAAUGGUGCCGUAACUUCGGGAGAAGGCACGCUGACACGUAGGUGAAGUGAUUUACUCAUGGAGCUGAAGUCAGUCGAAGAUACCAGCUGGCUGCAACUGUUUAUUAAAAACACAGCACUGUGCAAACACGAAAGUGGACGUAUACGGUGUGACGCCUGCCCGGUGCCGGAAGGUUAAUUGAUGGGGUCAGCGCAAGCGAAGCUCCUGAUCGAAGCCCCGGUAAACGGCGGCCGUAACUAUAACGGUCCUAAGGUAGCGAAAUUCCUUGUCGGGUAAGUUCCGACCUGCACGAAUGGCGUAAUGAUGGCCAGGCUGUCUCCACCCGAGACUCAGUGAAAUUGAACUCGCUGUGAAGAUGCAGUGUACCCGCGGCAAGACGGAAAGACCCCGUGAACCUUUACUAUAGCUUGACACUGAACAUUGAGCCUUGAUGUGUAGGAUAGGUGGGAGGCUUUGAAGUGUGGACGCCAGUCUGCAUGGAGCCGACCUUGAAAUACCACCCUUUAAUGUUUGAUGUUCUAACGUGGACCCGUAAUCCGGGUUGCGGACAGUGUCUGGUGGGUAGUUUGACUGGGGCGGUCUCCUCCUAAAGAGUAACGGAGGAGCACGAAGGUUGGCUAAUCCUGGUCGGACAUCAGGAGGUUAGUGCAAUGGCAUAAGCCAGCUUGACUGCGAGCGUGACGGCGCGAGCAGGUGCGAAAGCAGGUCAUAGUGAUCCGGUGGUUCUGAAUGGAAGGGCCAUCGCUCAACGGAUAAAAGGUACUCCGGGGAUAACAGGCUGAUACCGCCCAAGAGUUCAUAUCGACGGCGGUGUUUGGCACCUCGAUGUCGGCUCAUCACAUCCUGGGGCUGAAGUAGGUCCCAAGGGUAUGGCUGUUCGCCAUUUAAAGUGGUACGCGAGCUGGGUUUAGAACGUCGUGAGACAGUUCGGUCCCUAUCUGCCGUGGGCGCUGGAGAACUGAGGGGGGCUGCUCCUAGUACGAGAGGACCGGAGUGGACGCAUCACUGGUGUUCGGGUUGUCAUGCCAAUGGCACUGCCCGGUAGCUAAAUGCGGAAGAGAUAAGUGCUGAAAGCAUCUAAGCACGAAACUUGCCCCGAGAUGAGUUCUCCCUGAGACUUAGAGUCUCCUGAAGGAACGUUGAAGACGACGACGUUGAUAGGCCGGGUGUGUAAGCGCAGCGAUGCGUUGAGCUAACCGGUACUAAUGAACCGUGAGGCUUAACCUU
Molecule: ribosomal RNA, 2908 nt
Filed under: Salmonella enterica
Lineage: Bacteria; Pseudomonadati; Pseudomonadota; Gammaproteobacteria; Enterobacterales; Enterobacteriaceae
Description: 23S ribosomal RNA
Rfam family: Bacterial large subunit ribosomal RNA
Source: RNAcentral